This 396-nucleotide ribosomal RNA is filed under the name uncultured bacterium. Its description in RNAcentral is "bacterial SSU rRNA". It matches the Rfam family "Bacterial small subunit ribosomal RNA", at positions 28 to 443 of the family's 1533-position model. The record is from RNAcentral.
GAUGAACGCUGGCGGCGUGCCUAAUACAUGCAAGUCGAGCGAACCACUUCGGUGGUGAGCGGCGAACGGGUGAGUAACACGUAGGUGAUCUGCCCAUCAGACGGGGACAACGAUUGGAAACGAUCGCUAAUACCGGAUAGGACGAAAGUUUAAAGGUGCUUCUGGCACCGCUGAUGGAUGAGCCUGCGGCGCAUUAGCUAGUUGGUAGGGUAAAGGCCUACCAAGGCGACGAUGCGUAGCCGACCUGAGAGGGUGAACGGCCACACUGGGACUGAGACACGGCCCAGACUCCUGCGGGAGGCAGCAGUAGGGAAUCUUCGGCAAUGGGCGAAAGCCUGACCGAGCAACGCCGCGUGAAUAGAUGAAGGCCUCGUGUAGUAUAGUAUAGUAAGUAAG